This 433-nucleotide ribosomal RNA is filed under the name uncultured bacterium. RNAcentral's name for it is "partial 16S ribosomal RNA". It matches the Rfam family "Bacterial small subunit ribosomal RNA", at positions 29 to 507 of the family's 1533-position model. The record is from RNAcentral.
AACGAACGCUGGCGGCAUGCCUAACACAUGCAAGUCGAACGAGACCUUCGGGUCUAGUGGCGCACGGGUGCGUAACGCGUGGGAACCUGCCCUUAGGUUCGGAAUAACUCCCCGAAAGGGGUGCUAAUACCGGAUAAUGUCUUCGGACCAAAGAUUUAUCGCCUUUGGAUGGGCCCGCGUUGGAUUAGCUAGUUGGUAGGGUAAAAGCUUACCAAGGCGACGAUCCAUAGCUGGUCUGAGAGGAUGAUCAGCCACACUGGGACUGAGACACGGCCCAGACUCCUACGGGAGGCAGCAGUGGGGAAUAUUGGACAAUGGGGGAAAGCCUGAUCCAGCAAUGCCGCGUGAGUGAUGAAGGCCUUAGGGUUGUAAAGCUCUUUUACCCGGGAUGAUAAUGACAGUACCGGGAGAAUAAGCUCCGGCUAACUCCGUG